UAAUACGUAGGGUGCAAGCGUUGUCCGGAAUUAUUGGGCGUAAAGAGCUCGUAGGCGGUUUGUCGCGUCUGCUGUGAAAAUCCGAGGCUCAACCUCGGACCUGCAGUGGGUACGGGCAAACUAGAGUGAUGUAGGGGAGACUGGAAUUCCUGGUGUAGCGGUGAAAUGCGCAGAUAUCAGGAGGAACACCGAUGGCGAAGGCAGGUCUCCGGGCAUUUACUGACGCUGAGGAGCGAAAGCAUGGGGAGCGAACAGGAUUAGAUACCCUGGUAGUCCAUGCCGUAAACGUUGGGCACUAGGUGUGGGGGACAUUCCACGUUUUCCGCGCCGUAGCUAACGCAUUAAGUGCCCCGCCUGGGGAGUACGGCCGCAAGGCUAAAACUCAAAGGAAUUGACGGGGGCCCGCACAAGCGGCGGAGCAUGCGGAUUAAUUCGAUGCAACGCGAAGAACCUUACCAAGGCUUGACAUGUUCCAGAUCGCCUCAGAGAUGAGGUUUCCCUUCGGGGCU
RNAcentral lists this ribosomal RNA (509 nucleotides) under uncultured Arthrobacter sp. RNAcentral describes it as "bacterial SSU rRNA". It matches the Rfam family "Bacterial small subunit ribosomal RNA", at positions 521 to 1028 of the family's 1533-position model. Lineage: Bacteria; Bacillati; Actinomycetota; Actinomycetes; Micrococcales; Micrococcaceae. The record is from RNAcentral.